AGAGUUUGAUCCUGGCUCAGAACGAACGCUGGCGGCAGGCCUAACACAUGCAAGUCGAACGAUGCCUUCGGGCAUAGUGGCGCACGGGUGAGUAACACGUGGGAACAUACCUUUUGGUGGGGGAUAACUUCGGGACACUGAAGCUAAUACCGCAUACGCCCCUUGGGGGAAAGAUUUAUCGCCGAAAGAUUGGCCCGCGUCCGAUUAGCUAGUUGGUGAGGUAAUGGCUCACCAAGGCUCCGAUCGGUAGCUGGUCUGAGAGGAUGACCAGCCACACUGGGACUGAGACACGGCCCAGACUCCUACGGGAGGCAGCAGUGGGGAAUAUUGGACAAUGGGCGCAAGCCUGAUCCAGCCAUGCCGCGUGAGUGAUGAAGGCCUUAGGGUUGUAAAGCUCUUCACCCACGACGAUGAUGACGGAGGGAGAGA
RNAcentral lists this ribosomal RNA (429 nucleotides) under uncultured Alphaproteobacteria bacterium. RNAcentral's name for it is "bacterial SSU rRNA". It matches the Rfam family "Bacterial small subunit ribosomal RNA", at positions 8 to 466 of the family's 1533-position model. Lineage: Bacteria; Pseudomonadati; Pseudomonadota; Alphaproteobacteria. The record is from RNAcentral.